GAGGGUAUAGCUCAGUGAUAGAGCGUGUGUUUAACACGCACAAGGUCUGGGGUUCAAUCCCCGGUACCUCCA
This 72-nucleotide transfer RNA is filed under the name Camelus bactrianus (Bactrian camel). It matches the Rfam family "tRNA". Rfam says of the family: Transfer RNA (tRNA) molecules are approximately 80 nucleotides in length. RNAcentral also lists the same sequence under 2 other names. The record is from Rfam by way of RNAcentral. Lineage: Eukaryota; Metazoa; Chordata; Mammalia; Artiodactyla; Camelidae.